This 492-nucleotide ribosomal RNA is filed under the name uncultured bacterium. RNAcentral's name for it is "partial 16S ribosomal RNA". It matches the Rfam family "Bacterial small subunit ribosomal RNA", at positions 29 to 507 of the family's 1533-position model. The record is from RNAcentral.
AGUGAACGCUGGCGGUAGGCCUAACACAUGCAAGUCGAACGGCAGCACAGUAAGAGCUUGCUCUUACGGGUGGCGAGUGGCGGACGGGUGAGGAAUACAUCGGAAUCUACUUUUUCGUGGGGGAUAACGUAGGGAAACUUACGCUAAUACCGCAUACGACCUACGGGUGAAAGCAGGGGAUCUUCGGACCUUGCGCGAUUGAAUGAGCCGAUGUCGGAUUAGCUAGUUGGCGGGGUAAAGGCCCACCAAGGCGACGAUCCGUAGCUGGUCUGAGAGGAUGAUCGGCGACACUGGAGCUGAGACACGGUCCAGACUCCUACGGGAGGCAGCAGUGGGGAAUAUUGGACAAUGGGCGCAAGCCUGAUCCAGCCAUACCGCGUGGGUGAAGAAGGCCUUCGGGUUGUAAAGCCCUUUUGUUGGGAAAGAAAAGCAGCAGGUUAAUACCCCGCUGUUCUGACGGUACCCAAAGAAGAAGCACCGGCUAACUUCGUG